UUGAAAUGCAUGGUUGGCCAAAUCUUUUC
RNAcentral lists this non-coding RNA (29 nucleotides) under Mus musculus (house mouse). Lineage: Eukaryota; Metazoa; Chordata; Mammalia; Rodentia; Muridae. The record is from RNAcentral.